UUUUUUUUUAGUAAAGAUUAUUCUGUGCCUACCUAGAUAAUCUUUAUAAUUUAAACUCAGAUGGCCUUUCUUGUGGAGUUUCCAUCAUGGCACAGCGGAAACAAACCCAACUAGGAACCAUGAGGUUGUGGGUUCAUCCCUGGCCUUGCUCAGUGGGCUAAGGAUCCGGUGUUGCUGUGAGCUGUGGUGUAGGCCGGCAGCUCUAGAUCUGGUUAAACCCCCAGCCUGGGAAAUUCCGUAUGCCUUCCGUAUGCCUUCCGUGGCCCUAAAAAGACAAAAGACCAAAAAAAAUUAAAAGUUAAAAAAUAAAGUCAGAUGAUUAGCGGUUUUAAUUUCAUCUGUAAUCUUUUUUUUUUUUUUUUUUGGCUACGCCCUUGACAUAUGGAAGUUCAUGGGCCAGGUGUCAAACCAGCACCACGGCAGUGCUGUGCCACACGGGAACUCCUCUUUUUUAAAAAAUUACUUAAGCCAGUCUAAUUCACCUUUUGUUUCUUUCUGUUUCAAAAGGACCUAUAUACAAAUGCCAUCUCUGGUGCACUGACGACGACUACCUACCUGAAGAACUACACUGAGGAGAACCCUGAGGGCCUCACCUGGGCUCAGGACUCAUGAGGCAGAUAUGCCAGGAGGGAGAAGAAGAAGGUGCAUCCUUUUGACUAAGAUGAAACCCCUGACUCAAUCUUCUGCCUCGCUCUGGACUGGCCAGCGCUUCAUUUUUUUUCCAAGGCUUGCUUGGUCUUUCAGGUUGGUAUAUAGGCUGGAAUUUGUCAGCUUGUGUCCUCAAGAAAGAUAAAUUUCCACAUUUGCUUAGAGGUUUAGUGGGUGUUCCCGCCCUCAAAGCAACUGUACCUGGUGCCACAGGUAAACUUCUUCCUAAGUACUCGUCCUCAAAAAGCUUAGACGCUAAAGGGAAAACUGCUCCCUGCACGACCUGGCAUGCCACGUGUUCCACUCGCUUCUCUGACCUCGAACAGUGUGUAAUCUGAAACUGGUCAAAAAAAGCAAUGAUGCUAAAAGCACAAUACAUUACAAAGGUAGCAUUUAAAAGUUUACAAAACAGGAGUUCCUCGGCAGGUUAAGGACCCAGUGUUGUCUUUGUAAGGAUGCAGGUUGGAUCCCUGGCCUGGCUCAGUGGGUUAAUGACCUAGUGUUGCUGUGGCUGAGGCACAGGCGGCAGCUACAGCUCCAAUAUGACCACUGGCCCAAAACUUCCCUAUGCCACAGAUGCACCCAUAAAAAGAAAAAAAAAUUACCAAACAAGGAUAAGGUGAGUCCUGGAGACAGAAGCAAUGAAAGGUUACUCAUAGAUUAUUUCUAAAUGGUUUUCAUGGUCCCCCCAACUCGGGCAAGCUGAUCUGGUUAACUGAGAUUCUCCCUGAUGGAACUAUGAUUGAUUCUGACCCCAUCUGAUAUCCUAAAAAAACAGACACUGUGCAGAGUUCCCGUCGUGGCACAGUGGUUAACGAAUCCAACUAGGAACCAUGAGCCAUGACGGGAACUCCCAUCAUGUUUAAAUAUCAUAUUUUAGAUCUAAAAUGUUAGAAAUAAAGAUAGAAGAAAUCACCUAUUUAAAAAUCUUUCCAUAGAUAAAGAAUUUACAAUAGGUAUGAAUUUGCAUAAGAAAAUUUUUGCAAUCCCAAAUGAAAAUAAAACAGAAGAUUAAGAAAACAGAUAAGGGCUCCUAAAUAUUGUGAGUCAGUUUAAAAAACCUGUUUCUAACACUGUUUAUGCAUCAGAGUGAAAGCGUCUCAACAGGAGAAUGGGCUUCUCCUGGCUAUUUGCUUCAUAAGACACACUGGAGCCCAAAGGCUUUCCCACCAGCCUCCCGUGAUGUCAAAAGAGGGUCGUUCCCUCACGUGUGUCUGCAGCUGCCACACGCCACAGGCGCCACGCCGAGUGGGACCCACACGGCUCCAUCCCCCCGGCCGCCUCACUUCUCAGGGGCCCAUGGUCCUUUACUCCUGGCUCAGGAGCCUUUCGCAAGUUCACCCCGCUCCUUAUCUGCAGUCUUUAAAAUCUAAUUUCUAAUUUGUUUUGACCUAGCCUCUACCUUUCCAUGUCUCCUUUCCUUUUCCAUCUGGGGCAGACAGCUUAUCAUUUCUUUCAGACUGUGAUCAGUGAUAACCUCCAGGUUUUCCUCACGACCUCCUAGAAGAUCGGCUCUCGAGUCCUGCUCUGGAGUGAUCUGAGACCCACCAGCAUCACUCUACUGAUUUCAGGCCAACAUUCCAGGCUGCUGAACAAGUCUUAACCUUGUUUCUACUUAUGAUCACAUUAGUGACGGCACCUGUCCCAGAGAUGGAUCACCUGACACAGAUGCACAAUACGGUACGACAGGUUCACAUGCUAGUUUCAGAACCAGAGAGACCUGAGUUCAAACCUCACUUCAACCCCUGACAUACUCCCUGUGGACUCAGGCCAUUUCCACUCUCUAACCCUCAAUGGAGACAUAACAACAACAGCGUUUUCCUCGUGUUGUGGAGUCCACGACAGUUUCCUCCAAGAGGUUUUUCUCGGGGUCUAGUGCAUGAUACUCAUCCAACAAUGUCAACCAUUAUUUUGACACUGAAAUGUACACAUUCUCUGGUCUCAGUAAAGUUGUCCAUCAAAUGAUAUAUAAGAAAGAAUAAAAGCCAGAGCCCUCUUGUGCUUUUUGAGAAGCCCCCUCCAGGUCAGUGCUUUUCAACCUGCAGGUUAGUGUAUAUAGAAAUCAGUUUAGCAGGUAAUAAACUGGGUAUUUUUUAAUUAGAACACAAUGUUUUCAAAAGUGAAUAUAAUGGAAUAGAAUAGAUCAAAGUGCAUGUCAUAUUGUAAGCACUAAAUGGUGUUCUGUCAAACAUGUAUGUCUGUGCAUAUGCAUACUGAGAAACAACAUAAAGUGCACUUCUUACUGUGUGUCACAGCCUAAAAAAGAAGUUUUGAAAGCCACUGUUCUAGGCUGAUCCAAAGCUCCUUAGGUACACUCUUCAGUAACGACAGACCAUUUAGGAGAGACACUGCUGCCCCCUGCUGGAACCCUUGACUCCUCGUGGAAAAGGACACCGGUAGGAGGACAGAGACUCUGCUUCUUGCCCCUGUGACCUCAGCCAUCCUCCUGUACCCCAUCUGGAAGCCCACCUGGGAGGACGCACCCCUCGGGCUACCCUGAUGCCCUCAGCAACGAACGCGUCAAAGGCAGCACUCGAAGUGAGAGCCCGCGUUCUCACCUUGAAAGUAAUCUUGGAGGCUGAGCCACACAUGCUACUGUGGUCCCACCUCGGCCCCAUCACACCUCACAGCUGCGAAGGGCCUCCCCAGCCCCUAAGCAGCCAUGGGUCUCUGCUCCUCUGGGCACCCUUGGAGGAAGGUGAACUGACUGCAUGUUCUCAGAGCUGGGACCACCAGCAGCCCCCACCCUCUACAUGCCCCCUGAUUUCUAAGAUAACUGCCUGGCAGGGCGGACCAGCAGGGUACAGCCUCAGAAAGAUAAGACUGUCCCACCCGACCAAGAGGGAGGCCUCACUAAGAGGUCAACGCUCUGAGAGAAGAGCACUCCUGACACACACCCCUGUCUUAAGAUGUGGAGCCUAGAACCAGACAAACUUGCCAAGAAUCUACUUAGUCCUGCUUCAGGAUGAAGGCUGCUAGAAAUUGAAGGCUCACACCUAGCCGCCCACGCCCAAGGCCUCAAGUAAAACUUGAGCAUAGUCUAACUGGAGGCUGACAUGCGUACAGUAACUUGCCCAGAGUCACUCGGCUCAUUUCAGGCCCAGGUGCCCCUGAAUGUGGGCCCAGAGGUCCCAGCUGCCACUUUAAGGCUGGCUGUACUUCUGAACUUAAAGGCUUACACCAAGAAAGAAAGAACACAUGACUCAGCUGCAAAGUGGCAAAUAAAACCUAGUACAAAAAAGACUUUAAAUCUGAACUUUAAAAUAAAUAAUGGGUGGCAUCACAGUAGGCAUUUUUAGAACAUGAACCAUGUUAUUAAUUUACUUUCAAAACAGCCUCAUUUGUUUUGAGUCUCGAAACAGGCCUUUUUUCCCCCUUGGGUAAAGGCCUUUCCCCAAAGACAGAUAUGCUUCAGCCAUUUCCUCAUCUAUGAAAUGAAGAAGGAAGACAAAUCUAUCAGAGCAUAUAGAGUUUACACUUAGUGCCAGGCGCUAAGUUGCUCUGUACUUUCACGUGUGUUUAACAACACUGGGCUCAGAGAAGUCAGCAUUUUGCUGAAGGUCACACAGCUAGUCAGAGACAGAUUCUAACCCAAGUACACCUGACUCCCUUGCCCUCGCUGGGGGAGCACACGGCUCAGCCCCUUGAAUGUCUCCUCCCUCCCUCUCCCUUGUCCACACAUCUCAAUGGGAGCAAUUACCAACAGGGAAGGAACUCAAGAUCCCAAACUUUGGGGAAAGGCUGACAAACUACCGCAGCAGAGGUGACGAGGGAAACGUGACAGCUGCGUGCCAGGUGGUGACCUGAGACCUUGGACCAAGAGAGGACUAGAGGACAAGCUGGUGAGAUCCAAAUGACAAGCUCGAAUGUGCUGCUGCACACAGUAGGCAGGUCCUAAUCGGGCCCUGCAGUCCAUUCUCAGGCUGCUUCUAGAUUCAUCUCCCAAAGCACACAUCUGAGUGCAGCUCUCUUGCUUCUAACCUUUCCUGGCUCCCCCUCGUCCUCGAGAUCUGCCUCCAGCUCCCCUUCCCAGAGACUUUUCUGGCUUCCCCUCCCUACCUCCCUGACCCUGCCCCAGCUUUGCUCAAGUCACUACUCUUCCCAGAAAGCACCCCGGGCCUUUCCUGCCACAUGCUCCGUCUGUCAGCCCUCAGGCUGCAGCACAGACUCUCAGAAUUCAGCUUCAACGUCGCUUCCUGCAGGGUGUCCUCCCUGACACCCUCGCUCCCUCUCCCCAAGUUUUCCCUGUGCCCUGUAAGCAGCUCCCAUCGCCGUGCUUCCGUCCUGGACCAUAUUCACAUCUGCCCCUCCUCUGUAUGCAACCCAGUCCCGGCUUCCUCGGAGUGAAAGCUGUGCGCGCAGACACGGCACCAGGCAGCACCGACCCCACUGUGAGGUCAGGGGUUCCGAAGGCCUCCUGUCCUCCCUAACUUCUCGGGAACCGUGUUAGUUUGUCUUGAACACUCCCUGGGAACUCCUUUCUUCCCUUUCGAAUAAGGCCAGAGGAAGACUCGGCUGGGCAUCUGUCAUAAGCAACAGGAUCUAGCUUGAAUUUAGCGCACUAUUUUGUUUUCACUGUAUUUUUACUUAUGAAAUUCUAUUUACAGAAAGCAGUACAAGUUCUUCUUCUACCCAGACUAGCAUUCUUCAUAAAAUUAUAUGAAUAAAGGAAGUGAAUCCACUUAGAAAAAACUGGUAAGUAAUUGUUUGGGUGGCACAUGUGACAAAAGCAUGUGCACACGCACACAUGCGCACAGCUAUGAAAGCUGUCCUGAGCAAAACAUCUCUGCGGCUGAGUCCCUGGGUCAUGAGACCCAAGGUGCUGCUGCCGUUACCACAACUACACGUGUGGCUGGGAGAAAACUACUGCUCUGGUCUUCUGUGUACUCACCUGUAAAAAGAAGAGGAAAAAACUGGGCCAUAAAAAUAUAUGACUUCAUCUCCCAGAUACAAAUCUCUCUUCCUACUCAUAUGGCAUGGAAAUAACAUUGCUGAAAAGAAACUCAGAGGUCAUAGCUUUAUAUUAGAGAUCAGAUCCAUAGUGUAUAGAGAUUGAAGUGAUAGGCCCAGGUCACGUCACGAUUUAAGGUCAAAUCCAAGACCGAAAUCGAGGUCUCCCCCCCCCCCGCCCCCACGCUGAUGGGCUAUUUCUCCCUCAUUUCUGAAACUCCCCUCCCCAUGUACUUUUCCCCCAGGUGAACUUCUGACACAAGGGUUAGAUUUUACUUUCAAAGCACAAGCAAGUACACACACACAAUAAAGACAUCUUAAAAUAACGGAAAAGCAAAUAAGCAAAGGAUAAAGGCAAUAUUAGAUUUCCAAGUGUUCACAUGGUUGGAAAAGGAAGUAAAAUACCUGAAAGCUGAGAAAACAUGUUACAGGUGUUUCCACAAUGUUGUAAUUCCCGCCUUGUUCUUCACUGAGAUUAGGUGAUAGAUUAGAUGCAAGGAGCCGGGAGUGGGCAGGCCACUGAGUUUCGGGGGAGUCCCUGACCCAUCUUUGUCUCCUCCCUGUGUAUAAUAAAACCUGCUUUACAAGAGACCAGAUCCAAAUAGCACUUCACUCACUCUCUGUGGAUCAUGAAAAAUGGGAUCCACACAAUUCCGGGGGGAAUACUUCAUCACAUUUUUAAAACAGGAUUUUCAGACACUUUUAAAGACUACUUUAGUAGAGUCUUUGCAUAUGGGAUGUAGUCAUUGCAAUGAUACAGUACAAGGUUUUUCUCAUUUUAAAAAAAGUCUUAUCCUUUUUUUUUGGAAAUGUACUGAACAUUUUUAUAUCUGACUUCGUUAAAGGCAAAAUUACCAGCUUUACAAAUGAACCAAUGCACACAGAAUCAGAAAAUUGUAACCAAGUUUCCCAGUGAAUGUAAAAUGGGUAGAUACAAUACCCUUCACAUAUACACAUGCAUGUGUGUGUUUGUAGGCAUUGUUGUAUAUUUAUGUAUAUACAGGUGUAGGUAUUUAUGUAACUGUACGUACAUGUGUAGCAAUUGGCCAAAGAGAAACUCAUGCGAGAAGAAACUUCAACUCAAAGCUCAAAGUGAGCCAAAGGUAAGAGGUAGCUGUCGGGAAAAAUAAGAAUCUUAAUGCAAUAUUAAAAUACAUUAAAUCCCAUUAAGUACAAAAAUGACCCACUGUACUCUCCACCCACCAGCCAAUACCAGCUGCAGGAACCACACUAACAGAGGCAUAGGAACUGGCAUGUGGUCAGAAGAGAGUUCUAGGUCAGCGGGGAAAGGGAGAGCCGGGGUGGUUCAUAGCAUGAGUCCCAGGGCCGAGCACGCCUUACUCAAAUACAAGAUGUGUGACUAUCCUGGAGCACAGGGGCCC
Molecule: long non-coding RNA, 6980 nt
Filed under: Sus scrofa (pig)
Lineage: Eukaryota; Metazoa; Chordata; Mammalia; Artiodactyla; Suidae
Description: lncRNA (ENSSSCG00025056567.1)
Source: RNAcentral